CACGUAGGGCGCGAGCGUGUCCGGAAUUAUUGGGCGUAAAGAGCUCGUAGGCGGCUUGUUCGCGUCUGCGUGAAAGUCCGGGGCUCAACUCCGGAUCUGCGGUGGGUACGGGCAGACUAGAGUGAUGUAGGGGAGACUGGAAUUCCUGGUGUAGCGGUGAAAUGCGCAGAUAUCAGGAGGAACACCGAUGGCGAAGGCAGGUCUCUGGGCCGAUACUGACGCUGAGGAGCGAAAGCAUGGGUAGCGAACAGG
Molecule: ribosomal RNA, 252 nt
Filed under: uncultured bacterium
Lineage: Bacteria
Description: partial 16S ribosomal RNA
Rfam family: Bacterial small subunit ribosomal RNA
Source: RNAcentral